UGGUGGAGACCGGCGCACGGGUGAGUAACAGUGUAUGCAAUCUACCGUCAACAGGGGUGGAUAACCCGUCGAAAGGCGGACUAAUACCGCAUAAGACCACGUUUCGGCAUCGAAAAGGGGUAAAAUAUUUAUAGGUUGACGAUGAGCAUGCUUAUCAUUAGGUAGUUGGUAGAGUAACGGCCUACCAAGCCGACGAUGUUUAGGGGUCCUGAGAGGGUGAUCCCCCACACUGGUACUGAGACACGGACCAGACUCCUACGGGAGGCAGCAGUGAGGAAUAUUGGUCAAUGGUCGAGAGACUGAACCAGCCAUCCCGCGUGAAGGAAGACGGCCUUAUGGGUUGUAAACUUCUUUUCCGGAGGAAUAAACUAUUGUACGCGUUAACCAAUACUGAAGGUACUCCGGGAAUAAGCAUCGGCUAACUCCGUGCCAGCAG
RNAcentral lists this ribosomal RNA (436 nucleotides) under uncultured bacterium. RNAcentral's name for it is "bacterial SSU rRNA". It matches the Rfam family "Bacterial small subunit ribosomal RNA", at positions 86 to 514 of the family's 1533-position model. The record is from RNAcentral.